RNAcentral lists this ribosomal RNA (543 nucleotides) under uncultured archaeon. RNAcentral describes it as "bacterial SSU rRNA". It matches the Rfam family "Bacterial small subunit ribosomal RNA", at positions 509 to 1050 of the family's 1533-position model. The record is from RNAcentral.
CAGCAGCCGCGGUAACACGUAGGGGGCGAGCGUUGUCCGGAAUUACUGGGCGUAAAGGGCGCGUAGGCGGCCUAAUAAGUCAGAUGUGAAACCCCCGGGCUUAACCCUGGGCUUGCAUUUGAAACUGUUGGGCUUGAGGACAGGAGAGGAAAGCGGAAUUCCCAGUGUAGCGGUGAAAUGCGUAGAUAUUGGGAGGAACACCAGUGGCGAAGGCGGCUUUCUGGACUGUAACUGACGCUGAGGCGCGAAAGCCAGGGUAGCGAACGGGAUUAGAUACCCCGGUAGUCCUGGCCGUAAACGAUGGAUACUAGGUGUGGGAGGUAUCGACCCCUUCCGUGCCGUAGCCAACGCACUAAGUAUCCCGCCUGGGGAGUACGGCCGCAAGGCUGAAACUCAAAGGAAUUGACGGGGGCCCGCACAAGCGGUGGAGCAUGUGGUUUAAUUCGAUGCAACGCGAAGAACCUUACCAGGUCUUGACAUCCCUUUGACCGGUAUAGAGAUAUACCUUUCCUUCGGGACAGAGGAGACAGGAGGUGCAUGGCC